CACGUAGGGGACGAGCGUUGUCCGGAUUCAUUGGGCGUAAAGGGUGCGUAGGCGGCGCGGUAAGUCGGGUGUGAAAUCUCGGAGCUUAACUCCGAAACUGCAUUCGAUACUGCCGUGCUUGAGGACUGGAGAGGAGACUGGAAUUUACGGUGUAGCGGUGAAAUGCGUAGAUAUCGUAAGGAAGACCAGUGGCGAAGGCGGGUCUCUGGACAGUUCCUGACGCUGAGGCACGAAGGUCAGGGGAGCAAACGGG
This 253-nucleotide ribosomal RNA is filed under the name uncultured bacterium. Its description in RNAcentral is "partial 16S ribosomal RNA". It matches the Rfam family "Bacterial small subunit ribosomal RNA", at positions 524 to 776 of the family's 1533-position model. The record is from RNAcentral.